RNAcentral lists this ribosomal RNA (254 nucleotides) under uncultured bacterium. RNAcentral describes it as "partial 16S ribosomal RNA". It matches the Rfam family "Bacterial small subunit ribosomal RNA", at positions 524 to 776 of the family's 1533-position model. The record is from RNAcentral.
UACGUAGGGUGCGAGCGUUAAUCGGAAUUACUGGGCGUAAAGCGUGCGCAGGCGGUCUGUUAAGACCGAUGUGGAAUCCCCGGGCUUAACCUGGGAACUGCAUUGGUGACUGGCAGGCUUUGAGUGUGGCAGAGGGAGGUAGAAUUCCACGUGUAGCAGUGAAAUGCGUAGAGAUGUGGAGGAACACCGAUGGCGAAGGCAGCCCCCUGGGUCAAGAUUGACGCUCAUGCACGAAAGCGUGGGGAGCAAACAGG